GGCCUGAUGGUCUAGUAGUAUGAUUCUCCCUUCGGGUUUUGCCCCAUCUGAUUGGAUGAAGACUGGGAGAGGUCCCGGGUUCAAUUCCCGGUCAGGCCC
Molecule: non-coding RNA, 99 nt
Organism: Stygiomarasmius scandens
Lineage: Eukaryota; Fungi; Basidiomycota; Agaricomycetes; Agaricales; Campanellaceae
Source: the annotation of a GenBank genome assembly